GCCAGUGUGCUCAAUGGUUAGAGCAUUGGCCCACGGACCUAAGGGUCGUGGGUUCGAUUCCCAGUCAAGGGCA
RNAcentral lists this transfer RNA (73 nucleotides) under Myotis davidii. It matches the Rfam family "tRNA". Rfam says of the family: Transfer RNA (tRNA) molecules are approximately 80 nucleotides in length. Their secondary structure includes four short double-helical elements and three loops (D, anti-codon, and T loops). The record is from Rfam by way of RNAcentral. Lineage: Eukaryota; Metazoa; Chordata; Mammalia; Chiroptera; Vespertilionidae.